UCGCGGUUGCCUAGUGGUCAUGGCUUCAGAUUCGUGUUUUGGUUCAGUCCCAGGUUCAAUCCUUGACCGCUAAG
Molecule: non-coding RNA, 74 nt
Organism: Nephila pilipes (giant wood spider)
Lineage: Eukaryota; Metazoa; Arthropoda; Arachnida; Araneae; Nephilidae
Source: the annotation of a GenBank genome assembly